Long non-coding RNA from Alnus glutinosa, 239 nucleotides. RefSeq lists it as uncharacterized. The record is from RefSeq and is a predicted model, not a curated record. The transcript is spliced from 2 exons. NCBI's taxonomy places the organism in Eukaryota, Viridiplantae, Streptophyta, Magnoliopsida, Fagales, Betulaceae.
GCGGACAGGAAAGAAUAACUGUUGGCAGAAACAUUCUUUCCUAGUCCACCCAUUCCAAUGGUUUCCUGUUAUUCCUCCGUCUACUUUUGGUUGAUUGCUCCGAUCUGCCGGAUGUUAUCUGCGGGUUCCACAAAUGGGUUAUUCGUCUGUGAUCUGAGGAAGGGUGCAAAAGUAAUGAUUCAUCCAUUUCAUUUCCGAAAUAUAUAAUUUCUGUUGUUUAUUUUAAGUUUUUGAAGAUC